UACGUAGGGGGCAAGCGUUAUCCGGAUUUACUGGGUGUAAAGGGAGCGUAGACGGUCCUGCAAGCCAGAUGUGAAAGCCCGGGGCUCAACCCCGGGACUGCAUUUGGAACUGUAAGGCUAGAGUGUCGGAGAGGCAGGCGGAAUUCCUAGUGUAGCGGUGAAAUGCGUAGAUGUUAGGAGGAACACCAGUGGCGAAGGCGGCCUGCUGGACGAUGACUGACGUUGAGGCUCGAAAGCGUGGGGAGCAAACAGG
This 253-nucleotide ribosomal RNA is filed under the name uncultured bacterium. Its description in RNAcentral is "partial 16S ribosomal RNA". It matches the Rfam family "Bacterial small subunit ribosomal RNA", at positions 524 to 776 of the family's 1533-position model. The record is from RNAcentral.